Molecule: ribosomal RNA, 253 nt
Filed under: uncultured bacterium
Lineage: Bacteria
Description: partial 16S ribosomal RNA
Rfam family: Bacterial small subunit ribosomal RNA
Source: RNAcentral
GACGAACCGUGCGAACGUUGUUCGGAAUCAUUGGGCUUAAAGGGCGCGUAGGCGGGCCCGCAAGUCAGGGGUGAAAUCCCACGGCUCAACCGUGGAAGUGCCUCUGAUACUGCGGGCCUCGAGGGGGGUAGGGGCGUGCGGAACUUCCGGUGGAGCGGUGAAAUGCGUAGAUAUCGGAAGGAACACCGGUGGCGAAAGCGGCGCGCUGGACCCCUUCUGACGCUGAGGCGCGAAAGCCAGGGGAGCAAACAGG